UACGUAGGCAGCAAGCGUUGUUCGGAGUUACUGGGCGUAAAGCGUGCGCAGGCGGUGAUGUAAGACAGAUGUGAAAUCCCCGGGCUCAACCUGGGAACUGCAUUUGUGACUGCAUCGCUGGAGUACGGCAGAGGGGGAUGGAAUUCCGCGUGUAGCAGUGAAAUGCGUAGAUAUGCGGAGGAACACCGAUGGCGAAGGCAAUCCCCUGGGCCUGCACUGGACGCUCAUGCACGAAAGCGUGGGGAGCAAACAGG
Molecule: ribosomal RNA, 254 nt
Filed under: uncultured bacterium
Lineage: Bacteria
Description: partial 16S ribosomal RNA
Rfam family: Bacterial small subunit ribosomal RNA
Source: RNAcentral